Molecule: ribosomal RNA, 465 nt
Filed under: uncultured bacterium
Lineage: Bacteria
Description: partial 16S ribosomal RNA
Rfam family: Bacterial small subunit ribosomal RNA
Source: RNAcentral
GACGAACGCUGGCGGCGUGCUUAACACAUGCAAGUCGAACGGAAAGGCCCCUUUGGGGGUACUCGAGUGGCGAACGGGUGAGUAACACGUGAGUAACCUGCCCUUGACUUCGGGAUAACUUCAGGAAACUGGGGCUAAUACCGGAUAGGAAUCCUUGCUGCAUGGUGGGGGUUGGAAAGCUUCGGCGGUUUUGGAUGGACUCGCGGCUUAUCAGCUUGUUGGUGGGGUAGUGGCUUACCAAGGCUUUGACGGGUAGCCGGCCUGAGAGGGCGACCGGCCACAUUGGGACUGAGAUACGGCCCAGACUCCUACGGGAGGCAGCAGUGGGGAAUAUUGCACAAUGGGCGGAAGCCUGAUGCAGCAACGCCGCGUGCGGGAUGACGGCCUUCGGGUUGUAAACCGCUUUCAGCAGGGGCGAAGCUUGUGGUGACGGUACCUGCGGAAGAAGCACCGGCUAACUACGUG